UACGUAGGGUGCAAGCGUUAAUCGGAAUUACUGGGCGUAAAGCGUGCGCAGGCGGCUUUGCAAGACAGGUGUGAAAGCCCCGAGCUUAACUUGGGAAUUGCGCUUGUGACUGGCGAGCUGGAGUGUGGCAGAGGGAGGUGGAAUUCCACGUGUAGCAGUUAAAUGCGUAGAGAUGUGGAGGAACACCGAUGGCGAAGGCAGCCUCCUGGGCCAGCACUGACGCUCAUGCACGAAAGCGUGGGGAGCAAACAGG
Molecule: ribosomal RNA, 253 nt
Filed under: uncultured bacterium
Lineage: Bacteria
Description: partial 16S ribosomal RNA
Rfam family: Bacterial small subunit ribosomal RNA
Source: RNAcentral